Molecule: ribosomal RNA, 460 nt
Filed under: uncultured bacterium
Lineage: Bacteria
Description: partial 16S ribosomal RNA
Rfam family: Bacterial small subunit ribosomal RNA
Source: RNAcentral
CCUACGGGAGGCAGCAGUGAGGAAUAUUGGUCAAUGGGCGCAAGCCUGAACCAGCCAAGUCGCGUGAGGGAUGACGGUCCUAUGGAUUGUAAACCUCUUUUGUCGGGGAGCAAGGCCCGCCACGUGUGGCGGGAAGGAGAGUACCCGAAGAAAAAGCAUCGGAUAACUCCGUGCCAGCAGGCGCGGUAAUACGGAGGAUGAGAGCUUUCUCCGGAUUUAGUGGGUUUAAAGGGUGCGUAGGAGGAAGGUUGAGUCAGCGGUCAAAUGUCGGGGCAAAAGACCGGCCUGCCGUUGAAACUGGUCUUCUUGAGUGAGCGAGAAGUAUGAGGAAUGCGUGGUGUAGCGGUGAAAUGCAUAGAUAUCACGCAGAACUCCGAUUGCGAAGGCAGCAUACCGGCGCUCAACUGACGCUGAGGCACGAAAGCGUGGGGAUCGAACAGGAUUAGAUACCCGGGUAGUC